RNAcentral lists this ribosomal RNA (168 nucleotides) under Escherichia coli. RNAcentral's name for it is "partial 16S ribosomal RNA". It matches the Rfam family "Bacterial small subunit ribosomal RNA", at positions 1 to 162 of the family's 1533-position model. RNAcentral also lists the same sequence under 1 other name. The record is from RNAcentral. Lineage: Bacteria; Pseudomonadati; Pseudomonadota; Gammaproteobacteria; Enterobacterales; Enterobacteriaceae.
AAAUUGAAGAGUUUGAUCAUGGCUCAGAUUGAACGCUGGCGGCAGGCCUAACACAUGCAAGUCGAACGGUAACAGGAAACAGCUUGCUGUUUCGCUGACGAGUGGCGGACGGGUGAGUAAUGUCUGGGAAACUGCCUGAUGGAGGGGGAUAACUACUGGAAACGGUAG